This 420-nucleotide ribosomal RNA is filed under the name Meyerozyma sp. RNAcentral describes it as "eukaryotic LSU rRNA". It matches the Rfam family "Eukaryotic large subunit ribosomal RNA", at positions 78 to 500 of the family's 3401-position model. The record is from RNAcentral. Lineage: Eukaryota; Fungi; Ascomycota; Pichiomycetes; Serinales; Debaryomycetaceae.
GCUUAGUAGCGGCGAGUGAAGCGGCAAAAGCUCAAAUUUGAAAUCUGGCACCUUCGGUGUCCGAGUUGUAAUUUGAAGAUUGUAACCUUGGGGUUGGCUCUUGUCUAUGUUUCUUGGAACAGGACGUCACAGAGGGUGAGAAUCCCGUGCGAUGAGAUGCCCAAUCCUAUGUAAGGUGCUUUCGAAGAGUCGAGUUGUUUGGGAAUGCAGCUCUAAGUGGGUGGUAAAUUCCAUCUAAAGCUAAAUAUUGGCGAGAGACCGAUAGCGAACAAGUACAGUGAUGGAAAGAUGAAAAGAACUUUGAAAAGAGAGUGAAAAAGUACGUGAAAUUGUUGAAAGGGAAGGGUUUGAGAUCAGACUCGAUAUUUUGUGAGCCUUGCCUUCGUGGCGGGGUGACCCGCAGCUUAUCGGGCCAGCAUC